This 222-nucleotide ribosomal RNA is filed under the name uncultured bacterium. RNAcentral's name for it is "partial 16S ribosomal RNA". It matches the Rfam family "Bacterial small subunit ribosomal RNA", at positions 118 to 338 of the family's 1533-position model. The record is from RNAcentral.
UGAGGAACAUGACCUUCGGCGGGGGAUAGCCGGCCCAACGGCCGGGUAAUACCGCGUACGACCACAUGGGGACAUCCCUGAGUGGUGAAAGCAGCAAUGCGCCGAUGGAGUGCCUCGCGGCCUAUCAGCUAGUUGGUGAGGUAACGGCUCAUCAAGGCAACGACGGGUAGCUGGCCUGAGAGGAUGGCCAGCCACAUUGGGACUGAGACACGGCCCAGAUCC